AGUGAACGCUGGCGGUAGGCCUAACACAUGCAAGUCGAACGGCAGCACAGUAAGAGCUUGCUCUUACGGGUGGCGAGUGGCGGACGGGUGAGGAAUACAUCGGAAUCUACUCUUUCGUGGGGGAUAACGUAGGGAAACUUACGCUAAUACCGCAUACGACCUACGGGUGAAAGCAGGGGAUCUUCGGACCUUGCGCGAUUGAAUGAGCCGAUGUUGGAUUAGCUAGUUGGCGGGGUAAAUGCCCACCAAGGCGACGAUCCGUAGCUGGUCUGAGAGGGUGAACAGCCACACUGGAACUGAGAGGCGGUCCAGAGUCUGACGGGAGGCAGCAGUGGGGAAUAUUGGCAAAUGGGGGGAAGCCUGAACAAGCCAUGCCGCGCGGAUGAAGAAGGCCUUCGGGUGGUAAAGCCGUUUUGUUGGGAAAAAAAGGCAGCGGGUUAAUACCCCGCUGUGCUGACGGUACCCAAAGAAUAAGCACCGGCUAACAUCGU
RNAcentral lists this ribosomal RNA (491 nucleotides) under uncultured bacterium. RNAcentral's name for it is "partial 16S ribosomal RNA". It matches the Rfam family "Bacterial small subunit ribosomal RNA", at positions 29 to 506 of the family's 1533-position model. The record is from RNAcentral.